GUGGGGUCCUGCCCGUCGGCAAAACUUGGGAGCGUGGCGGAGGCUCGGCCGCCAGGGAGGUUUGAAGAGACGUUGCCAGAGGUCGAAAGUCAGUUGGAUCCCCGGAGGGUCACUCCCGUCACGAACUACGGCUGGGGGGUAUUUUAUACCCAACACCAGUCCCCCUACUUCCGAGUUCGAAUUUCGAAUGAAGGAAGUACAGAAA
This 205-nucleotide long non-coding RNA is filed under the name Elaeis guineensis (African oil palm). RNAcentral describes it as "long non-coding RNA (EGUI_LNC037481)". Lineage: Eukaryota; Viridiplantae; Streptophyta; Magnoliopsida; Arecales; Arecaceae. The record is from RNAcentral.